GGAGUGGCUGCAGCUGCCUGCAGACACCCACGCUCUGAAUGUAGGACCAGGCUUCAGUGAGUCAUGAAGACAGAUGCAGAAGAGGAUUCAAAGAGGAAGAGAAGUCUACCCUCACAGAUAUUCUCAGGAGGACCCAUACAUGACAGCAGCUUAUCAGGUUGGUAAGAAACUAUCUUCAGAACUGUAGAACUGUAAGUAUCAUCUCUACACAGGAUUUCCUGCAGAAGAAAGAACAGUACUGAAGUCUUGUGUCUUUUCUUUGUGUAUCCAGUCAUGGACAAGAAAGUAGAAAAGGACAAAAGUUGUGUGGGGAGUUAAGGCAUCCAGUACAGAGGCUGAUGAGGUUGGAAACAAAUUCACAGUCCCCAGUUGCACAGGUUCACUGUGCUGGAAAUGAACAUGAGUAGGUAUUUCACACAGGAGCAGCAAAAGGCAGCAUGCUGCGCCAGUCUGUCCCUGUCAGAAGGGGUAUGUUUGAAUUGUGUCUCUCACAAACACA
Molecule: long non-coding RNA, 499 nt
Organism: Tyto alba (common barn owl)
Lineage: Eukaryota; Metazoa; Chordata; Aves; Strigiformes; Tytonidae
Exons: 4
Source: RefSeq, a predicted model, not a curated record